AAGGAGGCCUGUUCGGCCUUUAAACAAUUACAUGAUUUGAGUUCAGACCGGUACAAGCCAGGUCGGCUUCUAUCUUUUAUAUAGUAUUAUAUAGUACGAAAGGACCUAUAAUUAUAAUUAAAUUAUAAUAAUGGCAGACAAUGCAUUAGAAUUAGAAUCUAAUUAAUCUAAUAUAAUAUGAAUAAUUUUAUUAAAUUUUUUAAUC
This 205-nucleotide ribosomal RNA is filed under the name Spartaeus jianfengensis. RNAcentral's name for it is "partial 16S ribosomal RNA". Lineage: Eukaryota; Metazoa; Arthropoda; Arachnida; Araneae; Salticidae. The record is from RNAcentral.